AAAGCAUGCGCCUCCUCCUCCUCGUCGUCCUUCGCCGUGUGCACUCUCGCGACCCGAUCCUUGCCCGACAUCCGGGCGCGUGCGCGGCCCCGCGGUUCAAAGCCCUGCGCUAACCGAGGGGCGCUAGCGCCCUACCCGGCUCCCGGCCCGGUGGGAAGGGACGUUGUCGGCCGCUCCAGUGCGCCGCGGUAAUCGGUCCGGUCCUAUCGGUACUGCCGUGGCGUCCGCCCUGGCGGGUGUUACGGGAUUACACCACGCCCGCCGCAACCUCGCCGCGGUCGCCCUUCGCCGGGCCCGACCGCAACGGCGACGGUCGGCGAAACAUACCUUGAUAAAAUUGAAGUGAUCAAAACAGGCGAUGGCCCGAACAGUGGUGCACGGAAUAGUCGAACAGGACGGGGGGUCGGGCUUUUAUGCUGGUUAGGCGCGUACGCGCCGCCACCCGGCCCCCGGUAAUGAUCAACAGACACGAGCGGGGGCAUUCGUACUGACGGGCGAGAGGUGAAAUUCUGGGACCCUGUCAAGACGACCAGGAGCGAAGGCGUCUGCCAAGGACGUGUUCAUUAACAAAGAACGAAAGUUAGAGGAUCGAAGGCGAUCAGAUACCGCCCUAGUUCUAACCGUAAACGAUGCCGACCAGCGAUCGGCGACGCGCUAUGCAAUGGCCGUGCCGGCAGCUCCCCGGGAAACCUCGAGUUUUUGGGUUCCAGGGGGAGUAUGGUUGCAAAACUGAAACUUAAAGGAAUUGACGGAAGGGCACCACCAGGAGUGGAGCCUGCGGCUUAAUUUGACUCAACACGGGAAAACUCACCAGACCAAUACACCGGUAGGAUUGACAGACUGACAGCCCUUUCUAGAUUCGGUGGGCAGUGGUGCAUGGCCGUUCUUAGUUGGUGGAGCGAUUUGUCUGGUUUAUUCCGAUAACGAACGAGACCCCCACCUACUAAAUAGCUCGGCGCGUCUCGCCACUUGCGCGUAAGUGGGCUGGGGUCGGCGCUGGCGGACCAAGGGCCCGGGUCGGGGUUCCCCGUGUUCCGCAUCCGUGCCCCUCCCCCCGUCCCUCGGUGCAGUCACCUGCCCCGGAAGUCAUCGUGCACGUCGCCUCGCGCGGCGGUUGCGUUGGCGGCCGGGGAUUAAAGGGGGCCGCCGGGGAUCACGGGGUGGUGGUCGGGUGUGGGGGCGGGGGGGCCCCCCGGUCUCCCGCCGGCGUUCCCAGCCCCGGUGUUUGGCAGCGCCCGAAUUUGCAGUCUCUUCUUAGAGGUAUCGGCGGCUUGCAGCCGCACGAAAUGCAGCAAUAACAGGUCUGUGAUGCCCUCAGAUGCUCUGGGCGGCACGCGCGCUACAAUGGGGAGUUCAGCGUGUCCUCUCCGAAAGGAGCGGGGAACCGCCUGAAACCUCUUCGCGCUCGGGACCGGGGUCUGGAAGUCUUUCCCGCAAACUCGGAAUUCCGAGUAAGCGCGGCUCAUCAGGCCGCGUUGAUUACGUCCCUGCCCUUUGUACACACCGCCCGUCGCUACUACCGAUUGAACGAUCUAGCGAGGACUUUGGACUGGCGCCCCUCUGCCCCGGAGACGGGCUCGCAUUGGGGUCGACG
This 1594-nucleotide ribosomal RNA is filed under the name Mictocaris halope. Its description in RNAcentral is "bacterial SSU rRNA". The stretch from base 205 to 1594 matches the Rfam family "Eukaryotic small subunit ribosomal RNA". The record is from RNAcentral. Lineage: Eukaryota; Metazoa; Arthropoda; Malacostraca; Mictacea; Mictocarididae.